This 253-nucleotide ribosomal RNA is filed under the name uncultured bacterium. RNAcentral describes it as "partial 16S ribosomal RNA". It matches the Rfam family "Bacterial small subunit ribosomal RNA", at positions 524 to 776 of the family's 1533-position model. The record is from RNAcentral.
UACGGAGGGGGCUAGCGUUGUUCGGAAUUACUGGGCGUAAAGCGCGCGUAGGCGGUUUUCUAAGUCAGAGGUGAAAGCCCGGGGCUCAACUCCGGAAUUGCCUUUGAGACUGGGAGACUUGAAUCCAGGAGAGGUGAGUGGAAUUCCGAGUGUAGAGGUGAAAUUCGUAGAUAUUCGGAAGAACACCAGUGGCGAAGGCGGCUCACUGGACUGGUAUUGACGCUGAGGUGCGAAAGCGUGGGGAGCAAACAGG